RNAcentral lists this long non-coding RNA (8222 nucleotides) under Panicum hallii. RNAcentral's name for it is "long non-coding RNA (PHAL_LNC000271)". Lineage: Eukaryota; Viridiplantae; Streptophyta; Magnoliopsida; Poales; Poaceae. The record is from RNAcentral.
GUAAGUCUAUAAAACAUGGACCUUUGUGAGCAUGUCUUUCAGCUCGACUAUAGAACCUGUAACUAGCAUAUCCUGUCUGUUUAUGAUCUUUAUGGAACUUUUUGAAUACUGUCUUCUAUCAUUGCAACUUGUCCAUUAGUAGAUGCUUGAAUUUUCUUAGGAGAACUGCCUGUGACAUGAGUUAGCGGCUGCACGAUUGCACAUACACUCUCCUGCACAAGCUUAUAACAUCAAAGCUAGUGAGAUGCAUGUGGCCGUAAUUUGGUGCUAUUAAGUAUACAUUAUUAUUGCUAUAUCAUGGUUUUUCAUGAAUUCCUUUGAUUGUAUAUGGAUUGCAUCAAUUUAUUGUCAGAACUGGAUGUAUAUUAAUCUAUCUGAUUGUAAUGAACAUCAUUUGUAGUUUAUGCCAUUCAGUAUACAUGUAUAGUUGAACUAACCUCGUGAAUUUAAGAGACAUUCCUUGAACCGCACCUGCUUCUAUCUUGGUCUACAGUGUUUUUUAGAUAGUAUUCUUUCAGAAAAACUUGCACAUUCUACUUUGUUGACUCUUUGUUAUUGCAUUCAUGUGAAGUUGUUCAUGAUAUUGUUAUUAUUUGGAAUGUAGCUUCUUGCCAAAUGAAGGGCCCACUUGUCCUUGAGCAUCUGUAUAAGAUCAUAUAUCUUAUAUUUCCAACUAAUUUGUUGCAAUAUGAGCUAGAGCCUGUUUGGGUAGAUUGGAUUUGGAUCCAAUUUUAUUAGUUAGCAGCCUCACCGUAACACCCAUAUCUGAAUUUUUUUUCUGUGUGACUUUACCUUUGCUUCCCUUUAGUGUUCUGCCUGCAUGUAAUCUUCUGUUUCCUAAAUCAUCAUAUUGUAGUGGCUGUGCAGACAGACUCAGUUUCCAUCAACCGUUGUUAUACAUAACCAUAUUAGUUUUAUGCUGAUUUCAGGUCAAGCUCUGCCGCAAUUUGUUUUACUAAUAUAUUUUUUUUGGGUGCAGAUAUGCUGGUGCUGUUUUUGCAGAUGCAUGCUUGAAGGGUCUGAAUGGAGUUCCUGACAUUGUAGAGUGCUCUUUUGUGCAAUCAACUGUGACGGAGUUGCCGUUCUUUGCCUCCAAGGUACUUAUCUAAUGCGUAAAUAUGUAAAGUGCAGUUAUGUUUUAUCAUAUGGUCAAAAUAAAUUUUCUUGGUUCUUUCUUCCUGUUUUCCUUUUUUUUCUUGUUAUAAAGGCUUAUACCGGUUACCAAAAUUUAAAUUACCAUGCUAUAAUUUGAUUUUCACUUAUUUAUUAUAUAAGUCAAUCUGUUUUUUGAAUUUGGAGGCAAGGAUCCAAAUCAUAGGUUUUGUGCACUGAAUUUUGUGUGGUCAGAGGCAUUAAAAGAAUUGGUUUUAUUUUUGUUGUUUUUUAAGCUUAUAAAACUGUCUUAUCGAUGGGUCUUGCAUGUCCUAUCGGAUUAAAGGUACUGUGAACCAUUGCCAUUUUGGUGUUUUUUCUUGAGAAUCAGUGUGAUGUGUUGGCCUUAUGGUUCCAUGUAGCAUGUUCUUGUUUCCAGGAACUGACGAGUGGCAUAUCUCAUUCUUUUACAAUAUCAUGGUUUUCCCUGUCUUGUCAGCUGCAAGAGGGCAUUUCAAUAUUGGCUGAUCAAAAUUAUGUGUUCUUCAGUAAACAUCGCUAAUGCCAGUGCCUUGCUAUACUAGUUAGAUGGACUCUUUCUAGUGUAUUUUUUCACUUGAUUUUGUUGAUUCUCUCAAGAGACAGUCUUCAUAUGCUGCCUAGUGUAGUUUUAACACCAGUCCCUUCCAUGCUACAGGUGCGCCUCGGCAAGAAUGGAGUGGAGGAAGUGCUUGGUCUGGGCGAGCUCUCCGACUUUGAGAAGAAGGGGCUGGAAAGCCUCAAGGGCGAGCUCAAGGCUUCCAUUGAGAAGGGUAUCAAGUUCGCCCACGGGAACUAGGCACUUUGCACAGACUCUUAACAAUUCAUAUAUCAAGCUGAGGAGAUCUCUUGGAAUUUUUUUUUGAUCGCCUUUUCUGCCCCUCUUCUGCUGGGAAGUAGAGGUGUUGUGAUCCACAAUAAAAAUCCAGCGGCUUAGUUGCCAACCUGAAUGAAACCUGAACCGGAAACAACCACACCGGUCACCGGUGCCUUUUGUGCUCGGCCAAUUGCUUGGUGAGCCGUGACGGAAAUGGGAACGGACUUGCCACUUGCUCGAUCCCACUUGUUAUUCUGGUAUUGUAUCGGUACCAGGGCUCCAUGUCAUACUGGAAUUCAAAUUAUUGGGGCUGCUAGAUACCAAUGUGCUGUUGCUCGUGAGACCUUGCACUGUUGAGCCGAGCAUUGCUGGUUCAGGGCAAAUUCCAAGGGUCCAAGCAACGUGCUAUGCUUGCUGGCGGGCGAUGUGUGAUUUUCAGAUUGAUUGGUGAGCCUGGAACGAGCACGUACCAUUAAAAGAGCCUAUGUUUAGAUAUAUAGCAUCAAAAGAAUCAGUUUUAGACAUAUACCAUCAAAAGAUGGCAAUUCUUUGCAGCUUAGCAUUUCUGUGAACUCAAUGCUAACUCUUUAACCAUUAUACCCUUUGGCUGAUAAAAUGAUUCGAGCGGCAGUAUAACAGUAUCCAGCCCCCAUUUCUUUUUUCUUUCUUUCCAUAGCAUUUUGAGAGGAUAUAAGAGGAUCCAUUUCAACACCCUCCCGGAACCUCGUCAGGAUCCAUUUGCCUCAGGAUUUGUGCACGGAGGUGAAGAUGCAAGCAAGCUUCGGAUUUGUGCACGGUGGCUGCUCAGUACUACCAGGUGCGGAGUCCGAGAAGGGGAUAGGGAGUUCGUACUCUUUCCUUUCAAUCUUCGACGCAGCAACGCGGUGCUCAUUCUAUGUUUCUCUAUUGCGGCGGCAAACGAUCAGCAUCAACCUUGUUUUGGGGUGUUUCCCCGGCAGAUGAUCUUUUAUUGGUGCUUUUGCCCUAUCCCGUGCGACGGGCUUCUACUGUGGCUUCUGUAGUUUUUUGUGGCGAUUUGUGUUGAUGCGCGUCUGGGGAAGGUCAUGGAGGCCGUCCUCUUGAGUUUGUUGUUGCAUCAGAGAAGACGAUGGCGAGCUCCACAGCGAGGCGCGUUGCUGGUUGCGAGGAUGACGAUACCGUUGGACAUGGUUGUAUUUUUAUUUUUUGUCAAGGGUGAUGUGGUGUUGAUUACUGUACUCUCAUAUACUGUUGCUAUCUAUAGUUAGCCAAAUAGGCCGCAUGACGCUACACCGCACUAACACAUGUUGGAAACGACACGGUUCGGCACGACACGACUAGGCACUGAGCUUGCCAGCCUAUCAUACCCAGCCCCGCGUGAUAGUAUCGGCCUGAGCCCGACGUCCGGUAGCCUCCAGCGCCGUCACCAUCGGUGAAGGUCAUGGCAGCGAGGGCUCGGGAAGGCACGCGACCGCAGUAUCUUGGAUGGCAAGGGGCGGGGAGACUGCGGUCGCGCGGCGGUAGCGGUGGUGGCUGGGGAUGGCGAGGUGGCGGGGAGGCCGCGAGGUGCGUAAUGGUGGUGGUGGGAAGGGCGAGGGGUGAGGGGUGGCGGAGAGGCAGGAGAGAAGAGAGAAAGAGAAGGGGGUUGUUAGGUGGAGGCAUAAGGUUCAAGAUUUGGAGAAAAUGAUGGAAGUAUUUAUACGAGAAAUAUGUGGGCGGACUGAAUCGUGCCAGCCCAUUUAGUUAUAUGAGAAAUAUAUCGGCGGUAACGGUCUGAAUUGUGCCAACACUACGUAUGCCAGGAUUCCGGCCCAAAGAUAGCAUGGUGAUCGGAUCGUGCCAGCCCGCACACUACGGCUAUCUAUCGGUCCGUGUCAAGUUAGAGCUGUAUUCUUCAGUGUCGAGCUACGGUCCAUCGGGUCGGCCCAUCUGGCCAUCUAUAUUGCUAUCCCUCGUCUAAUAUUGCUAUCCCUCGUCUAAUGAAAGCAGAUAUUCCCUCUCAAAAGAAAAAAAAACUUCCCUUCAGAUCCCAUCCACACCCUUUGGAGUCAGGACCCUUCCUCCUCACCCCUCCCUCUAUUAGAGCACCACCCGCCGCCGCCGCCAGCCUGACCGCCUCCGCUCCCCUCACUCGUCCCCAGCGAGACGCGCCCCCGAGCUCCUCCGCCGCAGCCGCGAUGAGGUCUUCUCUGCUGAAAUCCACGUCCGAGCUCCUCCGCCGCAGCCGCGGCUACUCCUCCUCGGCCAACCCGGAGCGGAAGGUGGCCAUCCUGGGCGCGGCGGGCGGCAUCGGGCAGCCGCUCUCGCUCCUCAUGAAGCUCAACCCGCUCGUCUCCUCCCUCUCCCUCUACGAUAUCGCGGGGACCGUCGGCGUCGCCGCCGACGUGUCCCACAUCAACACCCCCGCCCUGGUACGCCCCCGCUGCUGCCCUGGUUUAUCGACGCGCGCCACGGGCUCGGCUGGAUCCGAGCUGAUUGGUCUCGUAUUCCGCAGGUGAAGGGGUUCAUGGGGGAUGACCAGCUCGGGGAGGCGCUGGAGGGAUCCGACGUCGUUAUCAUCCCCGCCGGGGUGCCCAGGAAGCCCGGCAUGACCAGGGACGACCUCUUCAACAUCAACGCUGGCAUUGUUAAGGCGCUCAGCACCGCCAUCGCCAAGCACUGCCCCAACGUAAGCAUCCCGCCCUUCCUCCCACUGUAGAUCUGCAGUUUAUGUAUAUAGAUUUGGUUGCUAGAUUUGGCACUAUACUUUUGGCAAUCGGAAUAGCCGGGUCUUGGAUUUGGUUAGAUCUAGUGUUCAGUAGUGAUCUGGUGUAGUAAAGUGGUGCGCCUACCUAAAACUGACAGGCAACACUGUUUGCCCAAAACAUACAUAAUUACGACGUGCUAGUUGCUGGCCUCAGUGCCAUCUCCUAUUUCUAAGAGAGCACACUUGCUCCAGAUGUCCAGAAUUCCAGAUAUUGAUCUGCAAAUAUUCCCAUGCUUUGCAAUGAUCAACUUACUGUCUUAAAUAAGAUGUUAGAUGAUAUUAUGCAUGCUUGUUGUUUAUAUAUGUCUAAAAUGUAAGUCUUCCAAGUAAACAUUUCCAUCUUGUUUAAUUUGUGCUAUCACACUGAUCAUGGGCUUUGUUGAUUAUAUGCUUCUUCAGGCUCUUGUCAAUAUGAUCAGCAACCCUGUCAACUCCACUGUCCCGAUUGCAGCGGAAGUUUUCAAGAAGGCUGGUACAUAUGAUGAGAAGAAGCUGUUUGGUGUGACCACUCUUGAUGUUGUUCGUGCUAAAACCUUUUAUGCUGGAAAGGCGGGCGUGCCAGUUAAAGGUAAUAAGAUGUUUUACUUGACAAUUGCUAGAAUGCUAGAGACAUUGCUACAAUGGUUAUCAGGUUUAAUAUGUCAUCUUUCUCAAUGCGAGUUGUUGCUACUUGCUAUCACCUUUUGCAGAUGUGAAUGUUCCUGUUGUCGGGGGCCAUGCGGGUAUUACUAUUCUGCCACUCUUCUCGCAGGUAUUGCAUCCACAGUUGCUGUUUCCUUCAGUGAAACAAUGAACUCCAAAAUGUACCCAGUUAGAAUAGAUAUAAGUCAUGUAACUAGUGACAAAAGCGCCUUGUAGCAUAAGCAUACCCGCAAUGAUCAAGUAGCUUAAGUGUAAUAUUUUGACGAAACAUGCAAUUUGGUUAGCAAAGAGGAGAUAUUUUGUGGACAGGAGUCAACAGAGUAUGUUUGCCUAGACCCUAGACUAGUUCAAUAAUGUCAAUUUAUCAACUGUGCAAUAGGACUGUAAAGCUAUCUUUGGUUAGUGUUUGUCAUGCUAGGUGUAUUCUAUGUUGGGCCUCAUAGUCAUAUCUCUUAAGCUAAUAACUCAAAACAUAAACUUCAACUCAAAAUCAAAUUGUCUGUUUCUUACAGGCCACUCCUGCAAGCAAUUCAUUGUCCCAAGAAGACAUCGUGGCCCUCACCAAGAGGACACAGGAUGGUGGAACGGAGGUUGUUGAAGCAAAGGCUGGAAAGGGCUCUGCAACAUUGUCCAUGGCGUAAGUCUAUAAAACAUAUGGACCUUUGUGAGCAUGUCUUUUUUUUUUGGACUAUAGAACCUGUAACUAGCAUGUCCUGUCUGUUUAUGAUCUUUAUGGAAUUUUAUGAAUACUGUCUUCUAUCAUUGCAACUUGUCCAUCAGUAGAUACUUGAGUUUUCUUAGGAGAACUGCCUGUGACUGUGUGUGACAUAAGUUUGCUGCUGCACGAUCGCACAUACACUCUCCUGCACAAGCUUAUAACAUCAAAGCUAGUGCAUUUGGCCGAAAUUCGGUGCUAUUAAGUGCACAUUCUUAUUUCUAUAUCAUGGUUCUUCAUGUAUUCCUUUGAUUGUAUAUCGAUCGCAUCAAUUUAUUGUCAGAACUGGAUGUAUAUUAAUCUAUCUGAUUGUAAUGAACAUCAUUUGUAGGUUAUGCCAUUCAGUAUACAUGUAUAAUUGAACUAACCUCGUGAUUUUAAGAGACAUUCCUUGAACCGCACCUGCUUCUAUUUUGGUCUACAGUGUUUUUUGACAGUAUUCUUUCAGAAAAACUUGCACAUUCUACUUUGUUGACUCUCUGUUAUUGCAUUCAUGUGAAGUACUUCAACAUAUUGUUAUUAUUUGGAAUGUAGCUUAUUGCCAAAUGAAGGGCCCACUUGUCCUUGAUCAUCUGUAUAAGAUCAUAUAUCUUAUAUAUUUCCAAUGAAUUUGUUGCAAUACGAGCUAGAGCCUGUUUGGGUAGGUAGGAUUUUAUUAGUUAGCAGCCUUAUCCUAACACCCAUAUCUGAAUUUUUUCUGUGUGACUUUACCUUAGCUUCCCUUUAGUGUUCUGCCUGCAUGUGAUCUUCUGUUUUCUGGAUCAUCAUAUUGUAGUGGCUGUGCAAACAGACUCAGUUCCCAUCAACUUUUGUUAUACAUAACCAGUGGCAGAGCUAGCAGUCAAUCCAAGGUGGGGCCAAUUGCUACAAUAUGUUGUGCCUAGUGCCUAGUAUUAACACCUGCUCUAAAUAAGAAUUAUACAAACUAGGAAAUAGAUGGUUUAUUGGGGAAGCAGCUCUUGAGGUUUUGACUUUAGAAGCAAGAAAGAAAAUAAAGAAGCAAAUCUGAACUACAGUAGGCAGGCAGACAAAACUGAUGAUUAAUUAAUCAGUACUAAGCACUGGUGUGCAGUAGUACUAAUAUCCAAACAAAGCAAAUGAACUACUUGAUGAAAGUAAAAUGCAUGGGAGAAUAUACAUGCAUGCAGACAUGCAGAUGUGCAAGAGUAGUGUGUAUGCAGUAAAUAUAGGCUACCAUCCUUUAUGCAUGAGCGUCAUGCAGAUGCAUGCGUCAAGCACAAAUUGCUGGUCUGUAGAUCCUUUGAAAAUUUAUCCAGGAGGGGGGGGGGGGGGGGCAGAGCCCACUGUGCCCCCAAAUCGGCUCUGCCAGUGUACAUAACCAUAUUAGCUUUAUGCUGAUUUCAGGUCGAGCUCUGCUGCAAUUUGUUUAACUAAUAUUUCUUUUGGGUGCAGAUACGCUGGUGCUGUUUUUGCAGAUGCAUGCUUGAAGGGUCUGAAUGGAGUUCCUGACAUUGUAGAGUGCUCUUUUGUGCAAUCAACUGUGACGGAGUUGCCGUUCUUUGCCUCCAAGGUACUUAUCUAAUGUGUAAUAUGUAAAGUGCAGUUAUGUUCUAUCAUAUGCUCAAAGUAAAUUUCCUUGCGUGUCUUAUCGAAUGGGUCUUGCUUGUCUUAUCGGAUUGAAGGUACUGGAGUGUUGAACCUGUGGAACCAUUGCCAUUUUGGUGUUUUCUUCUUGAGCAUCAAUGUGAUAUGUUGGCGUGGCCAUAUGGUUCCUUGUAGCACGUUCUUGUUUCCAGGAACCAUUGAUGAUGUGGCUAGUGGCAUAUCACAUUCUUUUACAACAUCAUGGUUUUCCCUGUCUUGUCAGCUUGCAAGAGGGCAUUUUAAUAUUGGCUGAUCAAAAUGAUGUGUUCUGCAGUAAAUAUCACUAAUGCUGGUGCCUUAACUAUACUAGUUAGAUCUCACUCAAUUUUGUUGAUUUUCUCUCAAGAGACGGUCUUCAUAUGCUGCCUAGUGUAGUUUUAACACCAGUCCCUUUCAUGCCACAGGUACGCCUUGGCAAGAAUGGAGUGGAGGAAGUGUUUGGUCUGGGAGAGCUCUCUGACUUUGAGAAGAAGGGGCUGGAAAACCUCAAGGGCGAGCUCAAGGCUUCCAUUGAGAAGGGUAUCAAGUUCGCCCACGGGAACUAGGCAAUUUGCACGGACUCUAACAAUUCAUAUAUCAAGCUGAGG